CUGCGAAAGCCGGAUUAAUACCGCAUACGCUCUGCGGAGGAAAGCGGGGGGUCCUUCGGGACCUCGCGCUACAGGGGCGGCCGAUGGCAGAUUAGCUAGUUGGUGGGGUAAAGGCCUACCAAGGCGACGAUCUGUAGCUGGUCUGAGAGGACGACCAGCCACACUGGGACUGAGACACGGCCCAGACUCCUACGAGAGGCAGCAGUGGGGAAUUUUGGACAAUGGGCGCAAGCCUGAUCCAGCAAUGCCGCGUGUGUGAAGAAGGCCUUCGGGUUGUAAAGCACUUUUGUCCGGAAAGAAAACCUCGUGGUUAAUACCCGUGGGGGAUGACGGUACCGGAAGAAUAAGCACCGGCUAACUACGUGCCUGCAGCCGCGGUAAUACGUAGGGUGCAAGCGUUAAUCGGAAUUACUGGGCGUAAAGCGUGCGCAGGCGGUUCGCUAAGACAGAUGUGAAAUCCCCGGGCUUAACCUGGGAACUGCAUUUGUGACUGGCGAGCUAGAGUAUGGCA
Molecule: ribosomal RNA, 511 nt
Filed under: uncultured Burkholderia sp.
Lineage: Bacteria; Pseudomonadati; Pseudomonadota; Betaproteobacteria; Burkholderiales; Burkholderiaceae
Description: bacterial SSU rRNA
Rfam family: Bacterial small subunit ribosomal RNA
Source: RNAcentral